UGGGGAAUAUUGGACAAUGGGCGCAAGCCUGAUCCAGCAAUGCCGCGUGUGUGAAGAAGGCCUUCGGGUUGUAAAGCACUUUUAUCAGGAGCGAAACGCUGUCGGCUAAUACCCGGCGGAACUGACGGUACCUGAGGAAUAAGCACCGGCUAACUUCGUGCCAGCAGCCGCGGUAAUACGAAGGGUGCAAGCGUUAAUCGGAAUUACUGGGCGUAAAGCGUGCGUAGGCGGUUUCUUAAGUCUGCUGUGAAAUCCCCGGGCUCAACCUGGGAAUGGCAGUGGAUACUGGGAGGCUAGAGUGUGUCAGAGGGUGGUGGAAUUCCCGGUGUAGCGGUGAAAUGCGUAGAGAUCGGGAGGAACAUCAGUGGCGAAGGCGGCCACCUGGGACAACACUGACGCUGAGGCACGAAAGCGUGGGGAGCAAACAGGAUUAGAUACCCUGGUAGUCCACGCCCUAAACGAUGCGAACUGGAUGUUGGUCUCAACUCGGAGAUCAGUGUCGAAGCUAACGCGUUAAGUUCGCCGCCUGGGGGAGUAUGGUCGCAAGACUGAAACUCAAAUGAAUUGACGGGGUCAUAGCUGUUUCCUG
This 589-nucleotide ribosomal RNA is filed under the name uncultured bacterium. RNAcentral describes it as "partial 16S ribosomal RNA". It matches the Rfam family "Bacterial small subunit ribosomal RNA", at positions 355 to 1376 of the family's 1533-position model. The record is from RNAcentral.